CUAAUACAUGCAAGUCGAGCGAACAGACGAGGAGCUUGCUCCUCUGACGUUAGCGGCGGACGGGUGAGUAACACGUGGAUAACCUACCUAUAAGACUGGGAUAACUUCGGGAAACCGGAGCUAAUACCGGAUAAUAUAUCGAACCGCAUGGUUCAAUAGUGAAAGACGGUUUUGCUGUCACUUAUAGAUGGAUCCGCGCCGCAUUAGCUAGUUGGUAAGGUAACGGCUUACCAAGGCGACGAUGCGUAGCCGACCUGAGAGGGUGAUCGGCCACACUGGAACUGAGACACGGUCCAGACUCCUACGGGAGGCAGCAGUAGGGAAUCUUCCGCAAUGGGCGAAAGCCUGACGGAGCAACGCCGCGUGAGUGAUGAAGGUCUUCGGAUCGUAAAACUCUGUUAUUAGGGAAGAACAAAUGUGUAAGUAACUAUGCACGUCUUGACGGUACCUAAUCAGAAAGCCACGGCUAACUACGUGCCAGCAGCCGCGGUAAUACGUAGGUGGCAAGCGUUAUCCGGAAUUAUUGGGCGUAAAGCGCGCGUAGGCGGUUUUUUAAGUCUGAUGUGAAAGCCCACGGCUCAACCGUGGAGGGUCAUUGGAAACUGGAAAACUUGAGUGCAGAAGAGGAAAGUGGAAUUCCAUGUGUAGCGGUGAAAUGCGCAGAGAUAUGGAGGAACACCAGUGGCGAAGGCGACUUUCUGGUCUGUAACUGACGCUGAUGUGCGAAAGCGUGGGGA
This 737-nucleotide ribosomal RNA is filed under the name uncultured Staphylococcus sp. RNAcentral's name for it is "bacterial SSU rRNA". It matches the Rfam family "Bacterial small subunit ribosomal RNA", at positions 48 to 767 of the family's 1533-position model. The record is from RNAcentral. Lineage: Bacteria; Bacillati; Bacillota; Bacilli; Caryophanales; Staphylococcaceae.